RNAcentral lists this long non-coding RNA (377 nucleotides) under Gossypium barbadense (sea-island cotton). RNAcentral describes it as "long non-coding RNA (GBAR_LNC001264)". Lineage: Eukaryota; Viridiplantae; Streptophyta; Magnoliopsida; Malvales; Malvaceae. The record is from RNAcentral.
GUCUUACGACUCUAAUUGCAUGUUGGGUCUAAGGGCUUGAAUCCAGGCCCUGGUGUGGAAAGUCCUCGAAUUCAUGUAUUCUUCUCUUGGGUCUGCACGGGUGUGCUGUGGGACUUGUACUAAAUAUAGCAAUGCAUUUUGAAUGAGAUUCCAAGAGCCUUUGAGCUAAUCAAAUCCUAAAUCAUAUUAUUAGAACUGCAUAAUCUGAUAUAAAACAAAAACUGAAAGAAAAAAGAAAACCUCGAUUCUCAUUCGGAGUUCCCUCGUUGAUGUUUCCAGUCUCGGCAGAAGCAAGAACACCUUCUUUCAGAUGAAGUUCCAAGGAAGAAAGGUGAACCAUUUUUGAAACUCCAAAUCCGAUGACUUCAGACCCCGUC